RNAcentral lists this ribosomal RNA (253 nucleotides) under uncultured bacterium. Its description in RNAcentral is "partial 16S ribosomal RNA". It matches the Rfam family "Bacterial small subunit ribosomal RNA", at positions 524 to 776 of the family's 1533-position model. The record is from RNAcentral.
UACGGAGGGUGCAAACGUUGCUCGGAAUUAUUGGGCGUAAAGCGCACGUAGGCGGCCUAUUAAGUUGGGUGUGAAAGCCCGGGGCUCAACCCCGGAAGUGCAUCCAAAACUGCUAGGCUUGAGUACCAGAGGGGGUCGGAGAAUUCCCGGUGUAGAGGUGAAAUUCGUAGAUAUCGGGAGGAAUACCAGUGGCGAAGGCGCCGACCUGGAUGGUAACUGACGCUGAGGUGCGAAAGCGUGGGGAGCAAACAGG